AGUUGAUGUGUCAACAGAACAGAGGUCAGAGCCGAGGACUGUGGCCUCUGGAAGCUGGAGAAGGCAAGGAGCAGAGCCUCCGGAAGGAACACAGCCCUGCUGACACCUGGAUUUUAGCCACGAAGAGCCGAGGACCCAGUACAUCAUGAGUGCUCUGAGGCCCAGGAGCCUACUGGACAUAUGGAGGAAAAGAAUGAACUUCUUCGAGACUUAUCUUCACCUGGGAAGUGAGUGCUUUCUAUCUACUUUGACACGCACAUAGAACCUCUCAACCACCACUGAGGCGAGGCCUACAACCAUCCUCACUUACCAGGCCUACAGUGUGCCAGCAUUCUGCUGUCAGGGGGACACAGGCAUGGCCAUCCCUGUCCCCAGCAGGGAAGGCAGAUAACAAUCAGAUCAGUACGCAAAUACAUCAUCACAAACUCGGGUCAGCGCUAAGAAGAAAACACACGGGAGCUACAAGAAUGUGCCCUGACAUCAAGGAAUGGAAAAAGCCCAUGCUCCAGAACACUAAAGGGGUCGGAAGAUUUCAGAAAUAAAAGGGACAAGAGAAAAGAUGAGUGUGCUCUGGAAACGUGGUUCUGCUUCACCCCCCCACAACCGUCCAAGGCGUGCACAUGCAGAAACUGAGGCACAGAGAGAAAUCACCUCUUGCCUAGGUGGCCAUGCGCCACACUCCUGCUCUUCACCAGAAGAACGCCCCGCCUCUGCUGGUGGCUCCUGUCCUCAGGAGACCCCUGUCUCUAUGCCAGGCCUUUAUGAGUCCUUGCUUGCCUAGUAUAAAUGAUACCUCACCAACUCUUUACAUCGGAAGGCGGUGUUUUAAUCAUCGGCUGAGAAAAUAAAUCAAGCCAAAAAGGCCCCGGGAAGGUCAGAAUGCCUUUAAAUGAAUUUGUAUUUUAUUCGCAGCAACAGUGAGGGACAUUUGAGAUUGGCCACACACAGAUUCAUGGAGCAAGCAUUUGCUGAGCACCUACCACGUGCCAGGCCCUGCCCUUGGUGCAGGGCAGCAGAGAUACAGCCGAGAACCAGACAGACCCCGCCCCUCCUGGGUCGUUAGGAGCUAACACUCUAGUGGGAGAAGGGGACAAUAAAUAAGAAAGAAGACAAUCAGGGUAAUUUCAGACUGUGUUAAAUGUGACUGUGAGGAGAGGGUGGUGUCCGAGAUGGCCUUUCUGAGGAGGCGAGGCCUGAAAGAUGACAAGGACCCAGCCUUGGGAAGAGACAGGGUGAAAGGUUCUAGGCAGAGGGAACGGUGUAUGCAAAGGCCCUGAGGCAGGAGCCUACACGCAAUGUUGAGGCACAGGAGGGAGGCCUGUGGCUGGAGCCAGGAGAGGGAGGAGGAGAGGAGGUGGUAGAUGUGUCAGGGUUUUGCAUGAAUUCUGAGGGGGGCGGGAGCCAAGGGAGGAUUUUGACCAGAAGGGGCACAGGAUCUGAUUUAGGUUCUAACAGGAUCCCUUUAGAUGCUGUUGUCAGCUGAAUAAUGCUCCCUAAAGAUGUCCACCUCUGACUCCCCCAAACCUAUGAAUGUUACUUUCUAUGGCAAAAGGAACUUUGCAGCUGUGACUUAGUUAAGGAGCUGGAAGUGGAAGAUGAUUCUGGAUUGUCUGAGUGUGCUCAGUAGUAUCUCAGGAGUCUCAUAAGACAGAGGCCGAGGGAGGGUGGUUUGGUUACAGAAGAGGAGAAGACCGAGAGAGGAGACAGACAGAAACAGAGGCUGGAGGGGCACGCUUAGCAGAUGAAAGAAGGGGCCGCAAGCCAAGGAAUGCAGGUGACCCCCGGAAGUGGAACAAGACAAGGGAGCAGCGCCCCCCUGGAUGCAGCCCUGCCAGCCCCCUGACUUAUCCCGAGACUGAUUUCAGACUUCUGAGCUCCGGAACUGCAAGCGAAUACAUCUGUGUUGUUUUCAGCCAAGAAGUUUGUCGUGGUUUGUUACAGGAGCCAGAGGAGACUAAGGCAGAUGCCGUGGGUGGGACAGACUGUGGGAGGGCGAGGCAGAAGCAGGCGGACCGGGAAGGGGGCUCCUGCCACAGUCCAGGCAGGAAAUGAGCAGGGACCCAAGGAAGUGACGGAUUCGCGAGAACCUCAGGAGCCAGAACACAUAGCCUUGCUGAUGGACCGGAUGCUUAGGGGGCGGGAAGGAAAGGACCAGCGUCCCUGGCUUCACUCAGUCACCCCUGGGCUGCUGCCUGGGACAGAGAGGUGGCCGCCGCGUGGUUCCUGCUCUAAGGAAGGACAAGGCCAGGGAAUAGUUACAGGGUGAUGGGCGGGAGCAGGCUCAGCUGCCCCGGGACCCCACAUCUCACACCAUUCAGGCCUCUGCCCCGAUGUCCCGUCUUCUGGGGUGCCUCCCUGACCACCCUGCCUCAGAGAGCCCCUCCUGCUCUCUCGCCCUCCCCCUGCUUUAGUUUGCUUUGUGUGUCUUCUUGUCACCCUGCGUGCUCCACGUUCGUCUGUUUCUUCGCCGUCGGGCUCCUGCACUCAAUCAUCAGCCCCUGACAAGGAAGACUGCAUCCAAUUCCUUCACCGAGUCUCUGGCACCUAGACAUGGUCUGACAUGAGCGGUGCUCAGCACAAAAGUGUGGGAUAAAUGAGCAAAUUCCCAUUUUCCAAAGAGGACACUGAAGAAAGCUGCCUCAAUGGCAGUGACUCUCAGGGUCACAUAGCUGCUAGGUGCCGGGUCAGGAUUUGAACCCAGAACUGAUUGUACCAAGUAGCUACCUCCUACUACCAGUGACACUGCCUGCAAUCCAGCAAUUUCCACUUUGUGGGGUCUGGUGCUCUAUCCUCCUUGAGGUAGCAAACAUUUUCAGUACAGAGCCUCAGGGAACCUACGGGGCAACUGACCCGGCCCGGGGGAUUACUAGAUAGGGAAACUGAGGCUCAGAGAGGCUGAGGUCUUCCCUGAGGUACACAGCUUGCCAGUGGCAGAACUGGGGUGCAGCUCCCACCAAUCCCUCAAUUGGGGUCUUCUCUCACAUUCCCGGUAUGCUCUGGGCCCCUGAGAAACCAGGCAGAGUAGGUGUAGCCCACACUGCCCAUUGUCCUGGCCGAGCCUGGAGGAAGCCUGGCAACACCUCAAGCUGGGAGCUUCUGAGAAAUGAGGGUUGGGGGUUAGGAUCUGGGGCCCUGCAAACUCCAGCUCUGCCCCUCCUCUGCUGUGUGACCUCAGGAAAGUUGCUUCCCCUCUCUGGCCUAGGCUUCCUCCUGUAACUCCAGCUAAAAUUCUAGACAAAG
Zalophus californianus (California sea lion) is the source of this 3240-nucleotide long non-coding RNA. RefSeq lists it as uncharacterized. Lineage: Eukaryota; Metazoa; Chordata; Mammalia; Carnivora; Otariidae. The transcript has 5 exons. The record is from RefSeq and is a predicted model, not a curated record.